Molecule: RNA transcript, 2577 nt
Organism: Solanum dulcamara
Lineage: Eukaryota; Viridiplantae; Streptophyta; Magnoliopsida; Solanales; Solanaceae
Gene name: probable starch synthase 4, chloroplastic/amyloplastic
Exons: 20
Source: RefSeq, a predicted model, not a curated record
AAUUUACCAGUUGAUUUGUAUCUAUUGAGCGUUGUGGCUCAUUUCCCAAGCAGUUGUAACAGAAAUUUUUAAAGCAUUCUGCAGCUGCAAUAAUUUAAUGCCCCCUGUUUGCCAAGCCAAUUGUGAGAAAAUUCUCAGAGGGACAAAUGAUGACGGAGAUGCUUUCCACUUCAUCCAUCGGCAAACCUCCGCGUAGCAACUUCUUUCCGGCUUAUGGCAAACCUUUUCGACCUUCCUUCAUUUGUUGCGUUAGGAAGAAAGCAGAGAAUAAUGGCUCAUCUAGUGGACCUUUGCAGUUAGAGUUGGGAAACCAGAGUAGUGAUGAGAAUAUUCCACAAAUGAGGAGUGGCAUUUGGAAACUUUUCGGAGAAGCUCAACAGAAUAUCUUGUACUUGAACAAACAACGCAUCAUGGCGAUGGAAGAGCUUGAUAGAGUAAAAAGAGAGAAAAGUUCAUUGCUUGAUCGAAUCGAGCAACUAGAGAGGACAAAGCUGAUUAAUAUAAGAAAAGAUAAGUUCUCAAUCAGCGCUGAGUUACUACUAAGGAUAGACUCUAUGGUUCUUACCAGUUUGAUUGGCAGCAAGGAGGCAUCAGAGUUUGGAAGGCUGGUCAUGGAUUCAAUAGGUAGGAUAGGUGAUUAUUUCUCUGAGAUAAUGCAUAAACAGGAUACCGAGCUUCUGGUUGAGCUGCGUCACUUCCCCGAGAAAAGUAGAAAGUCGGGUUACCACAUAAUCCACAUUUGUACUGAAAUCUUGCAAAGGAAGGGAAAUCUGGUCGAGGUUGUCUUACCCAAGUAUGCUUGCCUAAAUUUAAAUGAAGUUCAUGGAUUACGAGAAGUUGUCACGGAGUUCCAUUCAUACUUUAAUGGUCAACUACAUGGAAACAGAAUCUGGACUGGGGUUGUCUGUGGCAUUGGAGUGACUUUCAUAGAACCUCUCUACUAUUCGUCAUUUUUCAGCUGUGAGAACAUAUGGCUACUCAAAUGAUUUUGAACGAUUCACCUACUUCUCUCGUGCUUCAUUGGAUUAUAUAGUUAAAGCAGGAGAACAGCCGGAUGUGCUUCAUAUACACAACUGGGAAACAUCUAUUGUUGGUCCGCUGUUUUGGGAUGUUUUUGUAAAUCAGGGACUUGGAGGUACCAGGAUACUGUUGACAUGUCAAAGCUUUGAGUCUCAGUGUGUAGAGCAACCUGAAAAGUUAUUCCUAUGUGGGCUUGAUCCUCACGGACUACAUUGUUUUGACCGUCUGCAAGCUAACAACAAGUCCCAUCUUGUCAAUGUUUUGAAGGCUGGAGUUGUUUACUCCAAUGACAUUAUUAUAAUGUCAUUCAUGCAAACAAAAGGGCAGAUAAUUCAUGCUACGAGUCAUGGUCUUGAGCCCACCUUAACCAUACACAAGGACAAGUUAGUAGUUGCUCCUCCUGGAUUUGAAAAUUCAGCUUGGGAUCCUUUAGUAGAUAAGUUUCUUCCACAAAACUACAGUGCAGAUAAUAUGAAGGGGAAAUCUGUCUGCAAAGUUUCGUUGCAGCAGCAUCUAGGGUUGCAGGAGAAAGCAUCCAUUGUUCUUGUAGGAUGCAUCUUCUCAGACAUCUCUGAUAUUGAACUGGAGAACCUCAAGACGCUUAUUUGGAUGGCUUCAAGGAGAGGUGUUCAGUUUGUCUUCAUGGGCUCGGGUCAACCUCCUGGUUUAAAUACGGCGUUGGAAUAUUUUGAGGAGGAACUCAAGCUCAAGGCCAUGAGAUAUGGAGCUAUGCCUAUUCUACUGGAUUGUACUGACAAUAAAUUCAGGCACUUUGUGUGUCGUGAUCCUGAGGGCACAGAAUUCUCUCGUUGUAUCAAAGAUACCUUCUCCAAUAUGCUCCUGAACCAAGCAAUUGAUGAACUUAAGAACAAUCCAUCAGAAUGGGACAAGAAGAUUGUCGACGCCAUGACAAAGGAUUUUUCGUGGGAUGCAGAGUGCUGUGACAUUCAUAUCUCCGCAUAUACAGCAAUAAAGAUCUUGUAAAGUAGAUUUUCUUUACAUAUUCACGUAUUUAUAUCUCUGUCCAUGCCAUGUGAGUGCCUAUUACAUAUAAGAGGACGGUUUUUUGUUAACUUGGGAAAAAAAAUGAGUAGAAUGCCUAUUUUAUUUUUAGAGUAAUAAUUGUUUAGUCAAUAGGACGGACACAAGUGAGGGCAUUGCCAAUUUCAACGAAUAAUUGAUGUGAAAAAGUACACCCCUUCCCCCUCUUCUAUGACACCCAUCUCCUGCCCCCACCUAAAAGAGAAAUUGAUUAAGUGAAUAAAAAUUUUGAAACAGUGAAUAUCGUCAAUUUGGUAAGAAUUCACUGCACGACUCAUGGAUAGGAAAUGUGUACCAUAUGUAGAUUCAUUUUCAAAUAUAGAGAUAUGUCAUUUUCUUGGCAUGGACUAAAAAAAAUGGUGUUAGACAAAUUGAAACACAGAGUAUAUUGGCAGCGGCAGGUUUAUGAUUUAAAGAUUGUGGGUGUACUGCUCUAUAUAUUUUAUAUAUUAUAUUACUCAGAUCUUUCUCUGUUUAUAUAACUAAAAUUUCAUAUAAUGAUUUGUAAAUAUGAUA